UUACUACUCCCUCCGUCCCAAAAUUCUUGUCUUAGAUUUGUCUAGAUACGGAUGUACCUAAUACUAAAACGUGACUUGAUACAUCCGUAUUUAGACAAAUCUAAGACAAGAAUUUUGGGACGGAGGGAGUAUCAG
Molecule: non-coding RNA, 135 nt
Organism: Triticum urartu
Lineage: Eukaryota; Viridiplantae; Streptophyta; Magnoliopsida; Poales; Poaceae
Source: Rfam